Molecule: RNA transcript, 1683 nt
Organism: Schistocerca gregaria
Lineage: Eukaryota; Metazoa; Arthropoda; Insecta; Orthoptera; Acrididae
Gene name: serine protease inhibitor I/II-like
Exons: 4
Source: RefSeq, a predicted model, not a curated record
CAAGGUAUCAGUGUUGGUCAUCUGUGCCGUCAGCAACGGCGGCGGAAACUGCUGUCAGUUGCAGGGGUGACCUCCAGCCAUGAAGGCGGUAUUAUCUGCGUGGGCCGCGCUCUUGUUCAUCGCCUUGGUGACCGGUAGCGCUGUAGGAGCCGACGAAGGUGCGGAGAAGGUGCUCCGGAUAAAACGUGAGGAUCAGUUCUGCGACCCCAACUCGACCUUCCUGAUGGACUGCAACGAGUGUAUCUGCGAAAUCGACGGUUUGUCGGCGUCCUGUACAGCGAUGGAGUGUCCCGACCGUCGCCGCAGGGAUGUUUCGUGUAAGCCGGGAACAACAUUCAAACAAAACUGUAACACGUGCUUCUGCGGUGAGGAUGGGAAGUCUGUGAUCUGUGCCUCCAUUGGUUGCUCUGAAGGAAACAGCUAGUAUGACGUUUCCACUUACUGGCGGAUGUCUACCACGAACUUCCUUUCCUGCCACUCGUCUUGCAACAGGUCUCUACUUUCUGUGGAUAUGGCUACACCAGAUUCCCUCCGGUUCGUCCUCGGCCUCCCUCGGCUUUUCCUGCCUGGCGGACGUGAGUGGAGGAAUGACUGCGGCCAUCGUUGUUCCUCCAUGUUUGCGAAGUGUCCACACCAUCUCAGAGCUCCAGCAUCAGCCCCCACGCUACCCACACGCACCCCUCUGCACGAGACAGCCUGCCUCAGAAGUACGAAUGGCUGCAAAAUGAACACGAGGCUGCGCGAGGAGCAACAGCGCCGCUUAUUCACAACCUUGUAAACCAGACCAUACAAGUCAUAUUCUUAAUUUGUCACAAAAUUACAUUAAAAUGACCAUAACAGAACAUUCUUUAUUUCUUAAGUAUUAAUAUUUUGAAACAAGCGGAAAAAUAUUCCUAUCGGAGAACAAAAAUGCAAAUGUUUACCUAUUUAUUUAAAAUACUCCAAAGUGGGGUACUAGCUGUCUCAUUCUACAUUCUUCAGCACAUUUAAAAAUGCUCCCAAAAAUUUUGGCACGCGAACAUAUUCACUCUUUUUUAAACACGCAAAUCACCUCAAACUCCCAUGAGCUCCCCCUAACUCUAACUCUUUCACAUCGUGGAUGUUCAUCUCUGUAAGUAAUAAAUACUUUAAGAUAGUAGACAGUGCUUGUAUUAUAGAAAGAGAGGAGGAGAUAACUGCAUUGUGAGAAAAAGAGACGGACCCAGUGCUUUCAUACCCAUCCACUCCCAGUUGCCCUUACUCACUCACUCAAUCAGUCCAACUCACUGUCAUUAACUCUGUGACUGCCUUCUCCUGUGCCACAGACACCGUCCCUUGCGUUCUGUCCUACUACAACAGUCUCCUCUAGCUGUAACUUUCUCCCUCUUGCUUUCUCUUGAUGCUAUUAUCUCAUUCCUUCCUUCCUACUGCUGCUGUCUCUUCUCGCGGUCAGCUUCUCACUUUUCCCCAUUGCCAUUGUCGUAUACUCAGUGUCUCAUUAUCAUCGGCUCUCGCGCUCUUCCACUUUCUCCUUCUCUUUAUUCCUCUCCCUUUGGUACUGUCUCUUUCACUCUUUUCCUAACACUGUUCAGUCACCGUCAACUACGUUCCAGUAGCACUGGGUCCGUCUCUUUUUCUCACAACGCAGUUAUCUCCUCCUCUCUUUCUAUAAUACAAGCACUGUCUACUAUCUUAAAGUAUUUA